RNAcentral lists this ribosomal RNA (428 nucleotides) under uncultured bacterium. RNAcentral describes it as "bacterial SSU rRNA". It matches the Rfam family "Bacterial small subunit ribosomal RNA", at positions 355 to 776 of the family's 1533-position model. The record is from RNAcentral.
UGGGGAAUUUUGCGCAAUGGGCGAAAGCCUGACGCAGCGACGCCGCGUGGGUGAUGAAGGCCUUCGGGUUGUAAAGCCCUGUGGGGAGGGAAGAAUAAAGCGAGGCGAAUAGGCUCGUGGAUGACGGUACCUCCUUAGCAAGCACCGGCUAACUCUGUGCCAGCAGCCGCGGUAAGACAGAGGGUGCAAACGUUGUUCGGAAUUACUGGGCGUAAAGCGCGUGUAGGCGGCAACGCAAGUCGGGUGUGAAAGCCCUGGGCUCAACCUAGGAAGUGCACUCGAAACUGCGUUGCUUGAGUCUCGGAGAGGAUGGUGGAAUUCUCGGUGUAGAGGUGAAAUUCGUAGAUAUCGAGAGGAACACCCGUGGCGAAGGCGGCCAUCUGGACGAAGACUGACGCUGAGACGCGAAAGCAUGGGGAGCAAACAGG